This 450-nucleotide ribosomal RNA is filed under the name uncultured organism. RNAcentral describes it as "partial 16S ribosomal RNA". It matches the Rfam family "Bacterial small subunit ribosomal RNA", at positions 331 to 797 of the family's 1533-position model. The record is from RNAcentral.
GUACACUCCUACGGGAGGCAGCAGUGGGGAAUAUUGGACAAUGGGCGCAAGCCUGAUCCAGCCAUGCCGCGUGAGUGAUGAAGGCCCUAGGGUUGUAAAGCUCUUUCACCGGUGAAGAUAAUGACGGUAACCGGAGAAGAAGCCCCGGCUAACUUCGUGCCAGCAGCCGCGGUAAUACGAAGGGGGCUAGCGUUGUUCGGAUUUACUGGGCGUAAAGCGCACGUAGGCGGACUAUUAAGUCAGGGGUGAAAUCCCGGGGCUCAACCCCGGAACUGCCUUUGAUACUGGUAGUCUUGAGUUCGAGAGAGGUGAGUGGAAUUCCGAGUGUAGAGGUGAAAUUCGUAGAUAUUCGGAGGAACACCAGUGGCGAAGGCGGCUCACUGGCUCGAUACUGACGCUGAGGUGCGAAAGCGUGGGGAGCAAACAGGAUUAGAAACCCUGGUAGUCCCA